UAUAAUGUAUUCACAUUUGAUUUAUAAAUGUUAAAAUAUUGUGUAGAAAAAAUGAGGAAAUAUAUUUAUUGUAACUUUUAUUAUAACUCAGUCGAGCUGUAAGUUACUUAUAGUAAACUUAGUAAGUACUUGUUGAUAUUGUAAUCAGUGUGUGACUGUAAAAUAUAUUUGCUUCAGAUACUGAAAUGACUAGAAAUUAUGGGUAAUUUGAAAUAUUUUAGGAAGGAAUGAUGAGAUGAUUAGUUAAAAACUAAUACGGUUUAUUAAAAAACUAAUACAGUGCCUUGUAUUGGGGAUGCUACCGUACAAAGAGGUAUAGAGAAUUAUUUGGUAAGGAAAUAUUACUUUGAGAGAUGGUUUUGUCUUUUCAGCAAGAAGCUAAGAUUAAUUU
Molecule: long non-coding RNA, 391 nt
Filed under: Homo sapiens (human)
Lineage: Eukaryota; Metazoa; Chordata; Mammalia; Primates; Hominidae
Description: non-protein coding lnc-XPO1-5:1
Source: RNAcentral